GAUGAACGCUGGCGGCGUGCUUAACACAUGCAAGUCGAACGGUGAAGGCGGAGCUUGCUCUGCUGGAUCAGUGGCGAACGGGUGAGUAACACGUGAGCAAUCUGCCCCUGACUCUGGGAUAAGCGCUGGAAACGGCGUCUAAUACUGGAUACGAGCUGCGAAGGCAUCUUCAGCAGCUGGAAAGAAUUUCGGUCAGGGAUGAGCUCGCGGCCUAUCAGCUUGUUGGUGAGGUAAUGGCUCACCAAGCCGUAGACGGAUAGCCGGCCUGAGAGGGUGACCGGCCACAAUAGGACUGAGAGACGGCCCAGUCUCCUACGGGCGGCAGCAGUGGGAAAUAUUGCGCAAUGGGCGAAAGCCUGAUGCAGCAGCGCCGCGUGCGGGAAGACGUGCUUCGGGUUGUAAACCUCUUUUAGCAGGGAAGAAGCGAAAGUGACGGUACCUGCAGAAAAAGCGCCGGCUAACUACGUG
Molecule: ribosomal RNA, 468 nt
Filed under: uncultured bacterium
Lineage: Bacteria
Description: partial 16S ribosomal RNA
Rfam family: Bacterial small subunit ribosomal RNA
Source: RNAcentral